UAGGGAAUCUUCCGCAAUGGACGAAAGUCUGACGGAGCAACGCCGCGUGAGUGAUGAAGGUUUUCGGAUCGUAAAGCUCUGUUGUUAGGGAAGAACAAGUACCGUUCGAAUAGGGCGGUACCUUGACGGUACCUAACCAGAAAGCCACGGCUAACUACGUGCCAGCAGCCGCGGUAAUACGUAGGUGGCAAGCGUUGUCCGGAAUUAUUGGGCGUAAAGGGCUCGCAGGCGGUUUCUUAAGUCUGAUGUGAAAGCCCCCGGCUCAACCGGGGAGGGUCAUUGGAAACUGGGGAACUUGAGUGCAGAAGAGGAGAGUGGAAUUCCACGUGUAGCGGUGAAAUGCGUAGAGAUGUGGAGGAACACCAGUGGCGAAGGCGACUCUCUGGUCUGUAACUGACGCUGAGGCGCGAAAGCGUGGGGAGCGAACA
This 428-nucleotide ribosomal RNA is filed under the name uncultured Bacillus sp. RNAcentral describes it as "bacterial SSU rRNA". It matches the Rfam family "Bacterial small subunit ribosomal RNA", at positions 355 to 774 of the family's 1533-position model. The record is from RNAcentral. Lineage: Bacteria; Bacillati; Bacillota; Bacilli; Caryophanales; Bacillaceae.